UACGUAGGGUGCAAGCGUUGUCCGGAAUUAUUGGGCGUAAAGAGCUUGUAGGCGGUUUGUCGCGUCUGCUGUGAAAUUUCGGGGCUCAACCCCGAACUUGCAGUGGGUACGGGCAGACUAGAGUGUGGUAGGGGAGACUGGAAUUCCUGGUGUAGCGGGGAAAUGCGCAGAUAUCAGGAGGAACACCGGUGGCGAAGGCGGGUCUCUGGGCAGUAACUGACGCUGAGGAGCGAAAGCGUGGGGAGCGAACAGG
Molecule: ribosomal RNA, 253 nt
Filed under: uncultured bacterium
Lineage: Bacteria
Description: partial 16S ribosomal RNA
Rfam family: Bacterial small subunit ribosomal RNA
Source: RNAcentral